UGUGUAGGCGGUCCCUUAAGUUUGGUGUGAAAUCUCCCGGCUCAACUGGGAGGGUGCGCCGAAUACUGAAGGACUAGAGUGCGGGAGAGGAGAGUGGAAUUCCUGGUGUAGCGGUGAAAUGCGUAGAUAUCAGGAGGAACACCGGUGGUGUAGACGGCUCUCUGGACCGUAACUGACGCUGAGACACGAAAGCGUGGGUAGCAAACAGGAUUAGAUACCCUGGUAGUCCACGCCCUAAACGAUGCAUAUUUGGUGUGGGCAGUCCAUUCUGUCCGUGCCGGAGCUAACGCGUUAAAUAUGCCGCCUGGGGAGUACAGUCGCAAGGCUGAA
RNAcentral lists this ribosomal RNA (330 nucleotides) under uncultured bacterium. RNAcentral's name for it is "bacterial SSU rRNA". It matches the Rfam family "Bacterial small subunit ribosomal RNA", at positions 568 to 898 of the family's 1533-position model. The record is from RNAcentral.